AAGUUUGAUCAUGGCUCAGAUUGAACGCUGGCGGCAUGCCUUACACAUGCAAGUCGAACGGCAGCACGGGAGCUUGCUCCUGGUGGCGAGUGGCGAACGGGUGAGUAAUACAUCGGAACGUACCCUGAAGUGGGGGAUAACGUAGCGAAAGUUACGCUAAUACCGCAUAUUCUGUGAGCAGGAAAGAGGGGGAUCGCAAGACCUCUUGCUUUAGGAGCGGCCGAUGUCGGAUUAGCUAGUUGGUGAGGUAAAGGCUCACCAAGGCGACGAUCCGUAGCGGGUCUGAGAGGAUGAUCCGCCACACUGGGACUGAGACACGGCCCAGACUCCUACGGGAGGCAGCAGUGGGGAAUUUUGGACAAUGGGCGCAAGCCUGAUCCAGCCAUGCCGCGUGAGUGAAGAAGGCCUUCGGGUUGUAAAGCUCUUUCGGUGGGGAAGAAAUUGCUUCGGUUAAUACCUGGAGUAGAUGACGGUACCCGCAUAAGAAGCACCGGCUAACUACGUG
Molecule: ribosomal RNA, 505 nt
Filed under: uncultured bacterium
Lineage: Bacteria
Description: bacterial SSU rRNA
Rfam family: Bacterial small subunit ribosomal RNA
Source: RNAcentral